Molecule: ribosomal RNA, 253 nt
Filed under: uncultured bacterium
Lineage: Bacteria
Description: partial 16S ribosomal RNA
Rfam family: Bacterial small subunit ribosomal RNA
Source: RNAcentral
UACGUAGGGGGCAAGCGUUAUCCGGAUUUACUGGGUGUAAAGGGAGCGUAGACGGCAGUGCAAGUCCGGAGUGAAAGCCCGGGGCUCAACCCUGGGACUGCUCUGGAAACUGUAAAGCUGGAGUGCGGGAGGGGCAGGCGGAAUUCCUGGUGUAGCGGUGAAAUGCGUAGAUAUUAGGAGGAACACCAGUGGCGAAGGCGGCCUGCUGGACUGCAACUGACGUUGAGGCUCGAAGGCGUGGGGAGCAAACAGG